Pipra filicauda (Wire-tailed manakin) is the source of this 449-nucleotide long non-coding RNA. RefSeq lists it as uncharacterized. The record is from RefSeq and is a predicted model, not a curated record. The transcript has 3 exons. Lineage: Eukaryota; Metazoa; Chordata; Aves; Passeriformes; Pipridae.
CCUGCUGGCUUCAGGAGGAAGGGAAAAAUUAAUGUGAAGAAACUAUUUUAGUAACUUGCCUGGAAAUCCAAGUACCUCUCUGAGCAGUUUGAACCACUUUUAAAUGAAAACUUCAGCCGAAAAAGAGCUGGGGCUUCACUACGGGCAGAUGUAAAACAGCAAGCAGCUACCGAGGUGGACCUGGAUUCAUAUUGAGCAGGUGUGAUAUGGUGUAAACUGGUUAUCAUGUUUGGGGUAACAGGACUCUGUCCUUUACAUAUGAACCACUUCUGGGUUAAGCCCUCUAGAGAAAGCAGUGGCUGCUGGCUCGUCCCUUCAGGGAGAUAAUGAACAGCAGAUGACUGUGCGGAAGGAUCCUUGCUACCUUCAGGAGGGAAGUGAUGCCAGGAACUGGUACUGCCAUGCAGGUUCUACACGCACAGUGACGAUGCACACUUGCCAUGAUGCAA